This 253-nucleotide ribosomal RNA is filed under the name uncultured bacterium. RNAcentral's name for it is "partial 16S ribosomal RNA". It matches the Rfam family "Bacterial small subunit ribosomal RNA", at positions 524 to 776 of the family's 1533-position model. The record is from RNAcentral.
UACGUAGGGUGCAAGCGUUGUCCGGAAUUAUUGGGCGUAAAGGGCUCGUAGGCGGUUUGUCGCGUCGGGAGUGAAAACCCAGGGCUUAACCCUGGGCUGGCUUCCGAUACGGGCAGACUAGAGGUAUGCAGGGGAGAACGGAAUUCCUGGUGUAGCGGUGAAAUGCGCAGAUAUCAGGAGGAACACCGGUGGCGAAGGCGGUUCUCUGGGCAUUACCUGACGCUGAGGAGCGAAAGUGUGGGGAACGAACAGG